GAUGAACGCUGGCGGCGUGCCUAAUACAUGCAAGUCGAGCGAACAGACUAGGUGCUUGCUCCUCUUACGUUAGCGGCGAACGGGUGAGUAACACGUGGGUAACCUACCUUUAAGCCUGGGAUAACUUCUGGAAACGGGUGCUAAUACCGGAUAAUAUCUUUAACCGUAUGUUUUAAUAUUGAAAGAUGCUUUUGCUUUCCUUUAUAGUUGUCUCCGCUCGGCUUUAGUUAUUUGGUAAGUUAACGGCUUCCAAAGGCAACGAUGCGUAGCCGACCGAAGAGGGGGAUCGGCAAAACUGGAACGGAGACACGGUCCAGACUCCUACGGAAGGAAGCAGAAGGGAAUCUUCGGCAAUGGGCGAAAGCUUGACGGAGCAAGGCCGCGUGAGUGAGGAAGGUCUUCGAAUCGAAAAACUCUGUUAUAAAGGAAGAACAAAUGUGUAAGUAACUAUGCACGAAGUGACGGUACCUAAUCAGAAAGCCACGGCUAACUACGUG
Molecule: ribosomal RNA, 497 nt
Filed under: uncultured bacterium
Lineage: Bacteria
Description: partial 16S ribosomal RNA
Rfam family: Bacterial small subunit ribosomal RNA
Source: RNAcentral